This 399-nucleotide ribosomal RNA is filed under the name Klebsiella pneumoniae. RNAcentral describes it as "partial 23S ribosomal RNA". It matches the Rfam family "Bacterial large subunit ribosomal RNA", at positions 2318 to 2716 of the family's 2925-position model. The record is from RNAcentral. RNAcentral also lists the same sequence under 3 other names. Lineage: Bacteria; Pseudomonadati; Pseudomonadota; Gammaproteobacteria; Enterobacterales; Enterobacteriaceae.
UAGCUAAUCCUGGUCGGACAUCAGGAGGUUAGUGCAAUGGCAUAAGCUAGCUUGACUGCGAGCGUGACGGCGCGAGCAGGUGCGAAAGCAGGUCAUAGUGAUCCGGUGGUUCUGAAUGGAAGGGCCAUCGCUCAACGGAUAAAAGGUACUCCGGGGAUAACAGGCUGAUACCGCCCAAGAGUUCAUAUCGACGGCGGUGUUUGGCACCUCGAUGUCGGCUCAUCACAUCCUGGGGCUGAAGUAGGUCCCAAGGGUAUGGCUGUUCGCCAUUUAAAGUGGUACGCGAGCUGGGUUUAGAACGUCGUGAGACAGUUCGGUCCCUAUCUGCCGUGGGCGCUGGAGAAUUGAGGGGGGCUGCUCCUAGUACGAGAGGACCGGAGUGGACGCAUCACUGGUGUU